Molecule: ribosomal RNA, 253 nt
Filed under: uncultured bacterium
Lineage: Bacteria
Description: partial 16S ribosomal RNA
Rfam family: Bacterial small subunit ribosomal RNA
Source: RNAcentral
UACGAAGGGUGCAAGCGUUACUCGGAAUUACUGGGCGUAAAGCGUGCGUAGGCGGUUUGUUAAGUCUGUCGUGAAAGCCCCGGGCUCAACCUGGGAAUGGCGAUGGAUACUGGCGAGCUAGAGUACGGUAGAGGAGAGUGGAAUUCCCGGUGUAGAGGUGAAAUUCGUAGAUAUUGGGAAGAACACCGAUGGCGAAGGCAGCCAUCUGGACCGACACUGACGCUGAGGCGCGAAAGCGUGGGGAGCAAACAGG